Molecule: ribosomal RNA, 693 nt
Filed under: uncultured bacterium
Lineage: Bacteria
Description: bacterial SSU rRNA
Rfam family: Bacterial small subunit ribosomal RNA
Source: RNAcentral
AGAGUUUGAUCCUGGCUCAGAUUGAACGCUGGCGGCAUGCUUUACACAUGCAAGUCGAACGGCAGCAUAGGUGCUUGCACCUGAUGGCGAGUGGCGGACGGGUGAGUAAUGCAUCGGGACGUGUCCGGAAGAGGGGGAUAACUGUUCGAAAGAACAGCUAAUACCGCAUAAUAUCCGAGGAAGAAAGCUGGGGACCUUAGGGCCUGGCACUUACGGGGCGACCGAUGUCUGAUUAGCUAGUUGGUGGGGUAAAAGCCUACCAAGGCGACGAUCAGUAGCUGGUCUGAGAGGACGACCAGCCACACUGGGACUGAGAAACGGCCCAGACUCCUACGGGAGGCAGCAGUGGGGAAUUUUGGACAAUGGGGGCAACCCUGAUCCAGCAAUGCCGCGUGUCUGAAGAAGGCCUUCGGGUUGUAAAGGACUUUUGUUGGGGAGCAAGGUGCACAGGUUAAGAGCUAGUGUACUUGAGAGUACCCAAAGAAUAAGGACCGGCUAACUACGUGCCAGCAGCCGCGGUAAUACGUAGGGUCCAAGCGUUAAUCGGAAUUACUGGGCGUAAAGAGUGCGCAGGCGGCUUUGUAAGCUUGAUGUGAAAUCCCCGGGCUCAACCUGGGAACUGCAUUGAGGACUGCAAGGCUAGAGUGUAGCAGAGGGGGGUAGAAUUCCACGUGUAGCGGUGAAAUGCGUAGA